Long non-coding RNA from Amphibalanus amphitrite, 163 nucleotides. RefSeq lists it as uncharacterized. The record is from RefSeq and is a predicted model, not a curated record. The transcript is spliced from 2 exons. NCBI's taxonomy places the organism in Eukaryota, Metazoa, Arthropoda, Thecostraca, Balanomorpha, Balanidae.
GCUGCCGCUCGCGGGAUGCGGACGAGUCUGUUGAGUGUGUUGUGCCGUCUGCCGUCUCCUCUUCGGGCCAUGAACGCAGGAUGCGAGACUCGACAGGCGACGGGCGACUCAACCGCUCAAGAUGUGUUGAAUGUGGAUGGCGGAGGAGCGGCGGCCGAGGACG